This 759-nucleotide unclassified non-coding RNA is filed under the name Hevea brasiliensis (rubber tree). The record is from RNAcentral. Lineage: Eukaryota; Viridiplantae; Streptophyta; Magnoliopsida; Malpighiales; Euphorbiaceae.
CUUUUACCUUGCUCUUAACCUAUAAAGGAUCUUUUGAAUUGAUAAAUGUCUUGCCUCAUUGAAGUCAGGUUUCUGUUUUUCUUAGCUUUAUAAUGACUGGAUAUGUUAUUGAGGAUCUAUGGAAGCUGUCAAACUAAGUGGCAGAAUAUUUUCCUUGCUUAGUUAAGUGCUAAAGCUUGUCUUCAUGUUUGAAUCUAUGCCAUGAAUUCUGGACAUCUUACAGCAUCCAACCUGAAACUUAAACUACUAUGUGACAGGCCUAUGAAUCCAAUAGGAGUGAGUGGUUGGAGAGGCCUAGGCAUUGGAUAAGGUGAUAAAAAGUUUCAUUUUACAAGUUACAACUGAUUUGACAUUAAUAGAAGAUACAUUCCACUUGAAUUGUGUUAUGACAGAAACAGAACUGCCUCAAUUGUCAAAUAGGUUUGGGAUAUAAAAUAGGAAUAAUUCAAGAGUAUUGAAGAAACUUGCGUCAUUUGGCUUAACUUGCACUUUCACAUGUGAAGACAAAAUUGUAACUAUGAAAAAUAACGGUUCAUGGAAUUACUUGUUGUCUUGUUCAAUGCUCAGUUGAGGCUGUAAAUGAGUUGGGUCAAGCUGCACAUUAGCUAGUUCAAGCUUAGCUCAUUCAUUAAACAAGUUUGAAAGAUGAGUUACUUUAUUUCAUUUGAUAAACAAGCAAAACUUGAAGUUGAGUAUGGCAUUAAGCUUUGCCAUCAUAUUUGCAGGAUUAUCUAGUGUAAACAUCUUUGCGGUUGAAAU